UUUUUUUUUCCCUCUCGGCUGGCAUUAACAGCGGUGAACCAGCCGGCUUAUACCAAGACUCUCCGAAUUCCCUUCGAUUCGAAGGUCAGCGUCUCCUGAGUUAGACGUCGAAUCUGAGAAUGGUGGUGUACCACAGAGCUCGAAAGUGAGCCCGAAAGUUGGCCGGUCACUAAGACAAACGCUCUGGCUUCACGCUGCAGUUCUAAAAUGCCGCCUUUAACUGUGAAGUACUUUUUAACUGUGAGGGAAAAAUAGAAUACGGAAAAAAAAAGGACUGAACCCGUGCCUCGGACCAGGGUCUAGUAGGCUGAAGGUUAGCGCACCGAGCAGAAUAGAAACGUGGACGUGACUUGUAGGUCACUGAGAAGUGACCUCAGCCAUCCAGGAAAAAACCAGCCAGCGAGCUUUCUUGGACUGUAAACAAUUGCACUUAACUCCGUUUGUCCUUGAGUGCAGAGGACAUUUCAGCUUAGCAAACUCUAGACUUUAUGAUGGGACCCUGAGCCGUGCAACAGAGGGAUAAGGCAGCUUCUCGUUUUAGGAACUUACCUGAUGUGGACCCCUCUACAUUAGUCUCAUCUGAAGAUCCGUCCUCCUAACCCAGCACUCACACAUUUGCAGCUCCAGGAUGUGCCCUUCUCUCAAAACUG
This 650-nucleotide long non-coding RNA is filed under the name Homo sapiens (human). RNAcentral describes it as "HSALNT0093700". The record is from RNAcentral. Lineage: Eukaryota; Metazoa; Chordata; Mammalia; Primates; Hominidae.